CUGCUAUUGCUGUUCUUUUGAAGAACAGUACCAACAUUAGUUUUGAUGGCCCCCUCAGUCGAAUUGCCAUAUGUCGUUUGCCCACUGAUGCGGAAACCUUUCCUUCGAACUCAACAUUCACUUGGAUGUCUGUAAAUUUCAGCUCCAGCCACAUUGAUGACAUCAGCAACAAUUUGAAAUGUGCACAGGAUCAGAUAUUUGCUGUUAUUUUAAAUGAGAGCUGUGAAGUCUCCCCUUCUGAGUCCUACACAACUCAAGUUGUCCCUUCUAGAU
Carassius auratus (goldfish) is the source of this 273-nucleotide long non-coding RNA. RefSeq lists it as uncharacterized. The transcript has 3 exons. NCBI's taxonomy places the organism in Eukaryota, Metazoa, Chordata, Actinopteri, Cypriniformes, Cyprinidae. The record is from RefSeq and is a predicted model, not a curated record.